Molecule: long non-coding RNA, 263 nt
Filed under: Lathyrus oleraceus (garden pea)
Lineage: Eukaryota; Viridiplantae; Streptophyta; Magnoliopsida; Fabales; Fabaceae
Description: Pisum sativum (pea) long non-coding RNA (PSAT_LNC008126)
Source: RNAcentral
AAAAAGGUAGUUGUAAUCCCUAUUUUGUUUUCCAGAGAGUUUAUCCUUGAUAUGUUCACCUUAACCGGUGACGGAUAUUUCUCUUUGAUGGUAUUCUAUCCAGUAACUGAUAGAUGUAAUCCCUAUUCUUCCCCUCGGAGUCUAUCCUUGAUAUGUUCAUCUUAACCGGUGAUAGAUAUUUCUCUUUGAUGGUAUUCUAUCCAACAUUCGAUAGAUAUAAUUCCUACUUUUUGUUCAAGUGGUUUAUCCUUGAUAUGUUCAUC